CUGAGUACGGCGGAACACGUGAAAUUCCGUCGGAAUCCGGGAGGACCAUCUCCCAAGGCUAAAUACUCCCUAGUGACCGAUAGUGAACCAGUACCGUGAGGGAAAGGUGAAAAGCACCCCGGAAGGGGAGUGAAACAGUUCCUGAAACCGUGUGCCUACAAGUAGUUAGAGCCCGUUAAUGGGUGAUAGCGUGCCUUUUGUAGAAUGAACCGGCGAGUUACGAUUUGUUGCAAGGUUAAGCGGAAAAAGCGGAGCCGUAGCGAAAGCGAGUCUGAAUAGGGCGCAUAAGUAACAGGUCGUAGACCCGAAACCAGGUGAUCUACCCAUGUCCAGGAUGAAGGUAAGGUAAUACUUACUGGAGGUCCGAACCCACGCACGUUGAAAAGUGCGGGGAUGAGGUGUGGGUAGCGGAGAAAUUCCAAUCGAACUUGGAGAUAGCUGGUUCUCUCCGAAAUAGCUUUAGGGCUAGCCUCGAGGUAAAGAGUCAUGGAGGUAGAGCACUGUUUGGACUAGGGGCCCUUCUCGGGUUACCGAAUUCAGAUAAACUCCGAAUGCCAUGUACUUAUACUCGGGAGUCAGACUGCGAGUGAUAAGAUCCGUAGUCGAAAGGGAAACAGCCCAGACCACCAGUUAAGGUCCCCAAAUAUAUGUUAAGUGGAAAAGGAUGUGGGGUUGCUUAGACAACCAGGAUGUUGGCUUAGAAGCAGCCACCAUUGAAAGAGUGCGUAAUAGCUCACUGGUCGAGUGACCCCGCGCCGAAAAUGUACCGGGGCUAAACAUAUUACCGAAACUGUGGAUGAACCUCUUUAGAGGUUCGUGGUAGGAGAGCGUUCUAAGGGCGGUGAAGUCAGACCGGAAGGACUGGUGGAGCGCUUAGAAGUGAGAAUGCCGGUAUGAGUAGCGAAAGAAGGGUGAGAAUCCCUUCCACCGAAUAUCUAAGGUUUCCUGAGGAAGGCUCGUCCGCUCAGGGUUAGUCGGGACCUAAGCCGAGGCCGAUAGGCGUAGGCGAUGGACAACAGGUAGAGAUUCCUGUACCAGUGCUAAUUGUUUAACCGAUGGGGUGACACAGAAGGAUAGGGAAUCGCACGAAUGGAAAUGUGCGUCCAAGCAGUGAGUGUGAGAAGUAGGCAAAUCCGCUUCUCGCGAAGCAUGAGCUGUGAUGGGGAAGGAAAUUAAGUACGGAAGUUCCUGAUUUCACGCUGUCAAGAAAAGCCUCUAGGAAGAGUAGUACUGCCCGUACCGCAAACCGACACAGGUAGAUGAGGAGAGAAUCCUAAGGUGAGCGAGAGAACUCUCGUUAAGGAACUCGGCAAAAUGACCCCGUAACUUCGGGAGAAGGGGUGCUCUAUUAGGGUGCAAGCCCGAGAGAGCCGCAGUGAAUAGGCCCAGGCGACUGUUUAGCAAAAACACAGGUCUCUGCAAAACCGUAAGGUGACGUAUAGGGGCUGACGCCUGCCCGGUGCUGGAAGGUUAAGAGGAGUGCUUAGCUUCGGCGAAGGUACGAAUUGAAGCCCCAGUAAACGGCGGCCGUAACUAUAACGGUCCUAAGGUAGCGAAAUUCCUUGUCGGGUAAGUUCCGACCCGCACGAAAGGCGCAACGAUCUGGGCACUGUCUCAACGAGAGACUCGGUGAAAUUAUAGUACCUGUGAAGAUGCAGGUUACCCGCGACAGGACGGAAAGACCCCGUGGAGCUUUACUGCAACCUGAUAUGGAAUGUUUGUACCGCUUGUACAGGAUAGGUAGGAGCCGAAGAGACGUGUGCGCUAGCAUACGAGGAGGCAAUGGUGGGAUACUACCCUGGCUGUAUGACCAUUCUAACCCGCCACGCUUAGCGCGUGGGGAGACAGUGUCAGGUGGGCAGUUUGACUGGGGCGGUCGCCUCCUAAAGAGUAACGGAGGCGCCCAAAGGUUCCCUCAGAAUGGAUGGAAAUCAUUCGCAGAGUGUAAAGGCACAAGGGAGCUUGACUGCGAGACUGACAAGUCGAGCAGGGACGAAAGUCGGGCUUAGUGAUCCGGUGGUUCCGCAUGGAAGGGCCAUCGCUCAACGGAUAAAAGCUACCCCGGGGAUAACAGGCUUAUCUCCCCCAAGAGUCCACAUCGACGGGGAGGUUUGGCACCUCGAUGUCGGCUCGUCGCAUCCUGGGGCUGUAGUCGGUCCCAAGGGUUGGGCUGUUCGCCCAUUAAAGCGGCACGCGAGCUGGGUUCAGAACGUCGUGAGACAGUUCGGUCCCUAUCCGUCGCGGGCGCAGGAAAUUUGAGAGGAGCUGUCCUUAGUACGAGAGGACCGGGAUGGACACACCGCUGGUGUACCAGUUGUUCCGCCAGGAGCAUCGCUGGGUAGCUAUGUGUGGCAGGGAUAAACGCUGAAAGCAUCUAAGCGUGAAGCCCCCCUCAAGAUGAGAUUUCCCAUUUCUUCGGAAAGUAAGAUCCCUGAAAGAUGAUCAGGUAGAUAGGUUUGGAGUGGAAGUGUAGCGAUACAUGG
RNAcentral lists this ribosomal RNA (2483 nucleotides) under Listeria monocytogenes. Its description in RNAcentral is "partial 23S ribosomal RNA". It matches the Rfam family "Bacterial large subunit ribosomal RNA", at positions 408 to 2888 of the family's 2925-position model. The record is from RNAcentral. Lineage: Bacteria; Bacillati; Bacillota; Bacilli; Caryophanales; Listeriaceae.